This 24-nucleotide ribosomal RNA is filed under the name Pleosporales sp. r129. Its description in RNAcentral is "partial 28S ribosomal RNA". The record is from RNAcentral. Lineage: Eukaryota; Fungi; Ascomycota; Dothideomycetes; Pleosporales.
UUGACCUCGGAUCAAGUAGGANCC